GCAAUUACGGGCCCGGCGCUGGCGGCUCCUGCGCACUCAGACCCCAGGGAGCCCAUCCGGGCAGGCGGCGGCCCUGAGUGUCGCGGCCGUGGGCCCGAGUGGACCUGGAGUCGGCGGGCAGCCCCGGGGGCAGACAGGCGACCGAACCGCGGGUCGAGGUGCUAACUGUGCAUCUUGGCAUCUCCCCUCGGCCACAGGGUUGGAAGCCCAGCGAGGCUAGAGGCCAGUCCCAAAGUCUCCAGACAUCAGGGCUGCAGCCCAGGAGCCUCAAGGCGCCCCGGCGGGCGACUGGACGGCCGGACAGGUCCCGAGCAGCCCGGCCCACCAUGGACCCCUCUGCCCACAGGUCCCGAGCAGCCCCGCCCACCAUGGACCCCCUGCCCACGUCCCGAGCGCCCCGCCCACCAUGGACCCAGACCCCCAGGCAGGCGUGCAGGUGGGCAUGCGGGUGGUGCGCGGCGUGGACUGGAAGUGGGGCCAGCAGGACGGCGGCGAGGGCGGCGUGGGCACGGUGGUGGAGCUUGGCCGCCACGGCAGCCCCUCGACACCUGACCGCACAGUGGUCGUGCAGUGGGACCAGGGCACGCGCACCAACUACCGCGCCGGCUACCAGGGCGCGCACGACCUGCUGCUCUACGACAACGCCCAGAUCGGUGCGCGCCACGGGCAGGCGGGACGGGCAGGACCCGGGGGCGGGAACGCCCCUCUGACCCCACCCCACCCCUAGGCGUCCGGCAUCCCAACAUCAUCUGUGACUGCUGCAAGAAGCACGGGCUGCGGGGGAUGCGCUGGAAGUGCCGCGUGUGCCUGGACUACGACCUCUGCACGCAGUGCUACAUGCACAACAAGCACGAGCUCGCCCACGCCUUCGACCGCUACGAGACCGCUCACUCGCGCCCUGUCACACUGAGUCCCCGCCAGGGCCUCCUGAGGAUCCCACUAAGGGGCAUCUUCCAGGGAGCAAAGGUGGUGCGAGGCCCCGACUGGGAGUGGGGCUCACAGGAUGGAGGGGAAGGGAAACCAGGCCGUGUGGUGGACAUCCGUGGCUGGGAUGUGGAGACAGGCCGGAGUGUGGCCAGCGUGACGUGGGCUGAUGGUACCACCAACGUGUACCGUGUGGGCCACAAGGGCAAGGUGGACCUCAAGUGUGUGGGCGAGGCAGCGGGCGGCUUCUACUACAAGGACCACCUCCCAAGGCUUGGCAAGCCGGCCGAGCUGCAGCGCAGGGUGAGUGCUGACAGCCAGCCCUUCCAGCAUGGGGACAAGGUCAAAUGUCUGCUGGACACCGACGUCCUGCGGGAGAUGCAGGAAGGCCACGGCGGCUGGAACCCCAGGAUGGCGGAGCACCACUCCUUCUGGGUGGGCGACGUGGUCCGGGUCAUCGGUGACCUUGACACAGUGAAGCGGCUGCAGGCUGGGCACGGCGAGUGGACGGAUGACAUGGCCCCUGCCCUGGGCCGCGUUGGCAAAGUGGUGAAAGUGUUUGGAGACGGGAACCUGCGUGUAGCAGUCGCUGGUCAGCGGUGGACCUUCAGCCCCUCCUGCCUGGUGGCCUACCGGCCCGAGGAGGAUGCCAACCUGGACGUGGCUGAGCGCGCCCGGGAGAACAAAAGUGCGGCACAGCUCAGGCGGCCAGUGGGCGGUGGGGCUGCCCCUGGCCACCGCUCACCUCAGUCCUGCCCCCAGGCUCACUGAGCGUGGCCCUGGACAAGCUUCGGGCCCAGAAGAGUGACCCAGAGCACCUGGGAAGGCUGGUGGUGGAGGUGGCGCUGGGUAACGCAGCCCGGGCUCUGGACCUGCUGCGGAGGCGCCCAGAGCAGGUGGACACCAAGAACCAAGGCAGGACCGCUCUGCAAGUGGCUGCCUAUCUGGGCCAGGUGGAGUUGGUACGGCUGCUGCUACAAGCCAGGGCGGGUGUGGACCUGCCGGACGACGAGGGCAACACGGCGCUGCACUACGCGGCCCUGGGGAACCAGCCGGAGGCCGCCAGGGUGCUCCUGAAUGCUGGGUGCCGGGCGGAUGCUCUCAACAGCACUCAGAGCACAGCGCUGCACGUGGCCGUGCAGAGGGGCUUCCUGGAGGUGGUGCGCGCUCUGUGUGAGCGCGGCUGUGACGUCAACCUGCCCGACGCCCACUCGGACACGCCCCUGCACUCCGCCAUCUCGGCGGGCACUGGAGCCAGCGGCAUUGUCGAGGUCCUCACGGAGGUGCCAAACAUCGAUGUCACCGCCACCAACAGCCAGGGUUUCACCCUGCUUCACCAUGCCUCCCUCAAGGGCCAUGCGCUAGCUGUGAGAAAGAUUCUGGCUCGGGCGCGGCAGCUGGUGGACGCCAAGAAGGAGGACGGCUUCACGGCGCUGCACCUGGCCGCGCUCAACAACCACCGCGAGGUGGCGCAGAUCCUCAUCCGGGAGGUGCGGACGCGGCCCAGGCCUGCCCAAGGACCGGGGAGCGGGAGGCCCACUGGGGUCCCUGGGCUGAGCCCGUGCCCACCCCUCCCCAGGGCCGCUGUGACGUGAAUGUGCGCAACCGGAAGCUGCAGUCCCCGCUGCAUCUAGCCGUGCAGCAGGCCCACGUGGGGCUGGUGCCACUACUGGUGGACGCUGGGUGCAGUGUCAACGCCGAGGACGAGGAGGGGGACACAGCCCUGCACGUGGCGCUGCAGCGUCAUCAGCUGCUGCCCCUGGUGGCUGAUGGUGCCGGGGGGGACCCAGGGCCCUUGCAGCUGCUGUCCAGGCUGCAGGCCUCGGGCCUCCCUGGCAGCGCGG
This 2768-nucleotide small RNA is filed under the name Pongo abelii (Sumatran orangutan). Its description in RNAcentral is "retained intron". The record is from RNAcentral. Lineage: Eukaryota; Metazoa; Chordata; Mammalia; Primates; Hominidae.